RNAcentral lists this transfer RNA (72 nucleotides) under Camelus bactrianus (Bactrian camel). It matches the Rfam family "tRNA". Rfam says of the family: Transfer RNA (tRNA) molecules are approximately 80 nucleotides in length. Their secondary structure includes four short double-helical elements and three loops (D, anti-codon, and T loops). Further hydrogen bonds mediate the characteristic L-shaped molecular structure. tRNAs have two regions of fundamental functional importance: the anti-codon, which is responsible for specific mRNA codon recognition, and the 3' end, to which the tRNAs corresponding amino acid is attached (by aminoacyl-tRNA synthetases). tRNAs cope with the degeneracy of the genetic code in two manners: having more than one tRNA (with a specific anti-codon) for a particular amino acid; and 'wobble' base-pairing, i.e. permitting non-standard base-pairing at the 3rd anti-codon position. RNAcentral also lists the same sequence under 1 other name. Lineage: Eukaryota; Metazoa; Chordata; Mammalia; Artiodactyla; Camelidae. The record is from Rfam by way of RNAcentral.
GGGGGUAUAGCUUGGUGACAGAGUGCCUGCCUAGCAUGCACGAGGUCCUGGGUUCAAUCCCCCGUACCUCCA